Molecule: non-coding RNA, 483 nt
Organism: Apaloderma vittatum (bar-tailed trogon)
Lineage: Eukaryota; Metazoa; Chordata; Aves; Trogoniformes; Trogonidae
Source: the annotation of a RefSeq genome assembly
AUGCACCUCAGACAUCUCAUCCUCCCUGUCUUCCUGGGGCAACUGCUGGGCACCAUGGGACAAGUCACGGUCACUCAGCAAGAAGCACAAGUCACCUUACAGGACAGAGACAACUUCCAAACAACCUGUACAUAUCAGACCUCUGACUUUUAUGGCUUGCUCUGGUACCAGCUGAAGAAAGGCCAAGCUCCCCAGCUCAUCUCGUAUCAGGCAGCACCUGGGUCCAGGCCCAGUGGCCGUUUCACCACGUUUCUGAACACCACGGGGAAAUACAGCCUCCUGCAGCUGCAGGAAGCCCAGCUCUCUGACAGCGCCUUGUACCUCUGUGCUGUGCAAGACACGCUGUCAUCAAUUUAUGCAGGAGCAGUCUUAAAUAUUCCCAUAAAUGAGUGCAUUGUCUUACUGCCAGUGCAUGGUUUGCAUGUGUACUACCACAGGAACACAGAGGUACGUGUGAAUGAACAUAUGAGCACAGUCAAGUGA